Molecule: ribosomal RNA, 1260 nt
Filed under: Salmonella enterica
Lineage: Bacteria; Pseudomonadati; Pseudomonadota; Gammaproteobacteria; Enterobacterales; Enterobacteriaceae
Description: partial 23S ribosomal RNA
Rfam family: Bacterial large subunit ribosomal RNA
Source: RNAcentral
CAGGGAAACCGAGUCUUAACCGGGCGUUAAGUUGCAGGGUAUAGACCCGAAACCCGGUGAUCUAGCCAUGGGCAGGUUGAAGGUUGGGUAACACUAACUGGAGGACCGAACCGACUAAUGUUGAAAAAUUAGCGGAUGACCUGUGGCUGGGGGUGAAAGGCCAAUCAAACCGGGAGAUAGCUGGUUCUCCCCGAAAGCUAUUUAGGUAGCGCCUCGUGAACUCAUCUUCGGGGGUAGAGCACUGUUUCGGCUAGGGGGUCAUCCCGACUUACCAACCCGAUGCAAACUGCGAAUACCGGAGAAUGUUAUCACGGGAGACACACGGCGGGUGCUAACGUCCGUCGUGAAGAGGGAAACAACCCAGACCGCCAGCUAAGGUCCCAAAGUCAUGGUUAAGUGGGAAACGAUGUGGGAAGGCCCAGACAGCCAGGAUGUUGGCUUAGAAGCAGCCAUCAUUUAAAGAAAGCGUAAUAGCUCACUGGUCGAGUCGGCCUGCGCGGAAGAUGUAACGGGGCUAAACCAUGCACCGAAGCUGCGGCAGCGACGCUUAUGCGUUGUUGGGUAGGGGAGCGUUCUGUAAGCCGUUGAAGGUGGCCUGUGAGGGUUGCUGGAGGUAUCAGAAGUGCGAAUGCUGACAUAAGUAACGAUAAAGCGGGUGAAAAGCCCGCUCGCCGGAAGACCAAGGGUUCCUGUCCAACGUUAAUCGGGGCAGGGUGAGUCGACCCCUAAGGCGAGGCCGAAAGGCGUAGUCGAUGGGAAACAGGUUAAUAUUCCUGUACUCGGUGUUACUGCGAAGGGGGGACGGAGAAGGCUAUGUUGGCCGGGCGACGGUUGUCCCGGUUUAAGCAUGUAGGCGGGUGUUCCAGGUAAAUCCGGAACGCUGUUAACGCUGAGGUGUGAUGACGAGGCACUACGGUGCUGAAGCAACAAAUGCCCUGCUUCCAGGAAAAGCCUCUAAGCAUCAGGUAACAUCAAAUCGUACCCCAAACCGACACAGGUGGUCAGGUAGAGAAUACCAAGGCGCUUGAGAGAACUCGGGUGAAGGAACUAGGCAAAAUGGUGCCGUAACUUCGGGAGAAGGCACGCUGAUGGUAGGUGAAGUGAUUUACUCAUGGAGCUGAAAUCAGUCGAAGAUACCAGCUGGCUGCAACUGUUUAUUAAAAACACAGCACUGUGCAAACACGAAAGUGGACGUAUACGGUGUGACGCCUGCCCGGUGCCGGAAGGUUAAUUGAUGGGGUUAUCCUCGCGGAGAAGCUC